CGGAGGGUGCAAGCGUUAAUCGGAAUUACUGGGCGUAAAGCGCGCGUAGGCGGCUUAUUAAGUUGGAUGUGAAAGCCCCGGGCUCAACCUGGGAAUGGCCUCCAAGACUGGUAAGCUAGAGUGCAGAAGAGGGUGGUGGAAUUUCUAGUGUAGCGGUGAAAUGCGUAGAUAUUAGAAGGAACAUCAGUGGCGAAGGCGACCACCUGGUUUGACACUGACGCUGAGGUGCGAAAGCAUGGGGAGCAAACAGGAUU
This 254-nucleotide ribosomal RNA is filed under the name uncultured bacterium. Its description in RNAcentral is "partial 16S ribosomal RNA". It matches the Rfam family "Bacterial small subunit ribosomal RNA", at positions 526 to 779 of the family's 1533-position model. The record is from RNAcentral.